UGUGCUCUACCGAUCUGGAAAAUACGGCCUGUUUGUCUCAAUUAUCUUCUUCAUUCAGCCUACUAAUUUUUGAGGAAACUAAGGUUUUUCAAGUAGGGAAAAUAGCCAAGAUAAAAAUUCUUUUUCUUUUUGUGAUCAAGGCCCUUUGCAGAAACGUCCAUGUCAAUAAUUACUGAGCCCUUUGGAGUUAGAACUCUUGGUUCUCGUUGAUCUGGUUUUUAGUCCAACCUUCCCUCUGGCUUUCAGAUGCUCCAUGUGCUGUGGUUUGACUUUGAUGUCCUUUGAGAAUUCUGUGACUUCUUCCAGGAUUACACGAUACACCCUUAACUUAUUAAUCCUGUUGGAUUAAUGGAGGGAAAGAGCUCUGGGGUGGGACUAUUCCAACAGCUAGUGUCCCCGGUUCAGCCUAAGACACCUCAACUUUUCUAGGAUAGGUUGUUUCAAUCUGCUUUUUAAAGUCUUGUAUCUCAUUUUAGCUUUGAAGACACACUUUAAUGAAGUAAUUUAAUUUUAAACAUUCAUUCAAAGCCACUGUCAGGACUGGAAGGGUUAGAGAAGGCAUUGGAAGGUCAGUGGCAUCUUCCUUUAUUUCCUGUGCGUGUGUGUGAAAACUUUUCUGUAGAAACUCGCCUGGUGCCCUGGAAGGGACUGGCAGGCAGCUGCCUAUCACAUCGGGAUGAGAGGCUCAUGGAGAGCCUGGGCUUCUGCUGUCCAGUGGCCUCAGCCUCUGCUGUCCACUGGGAGCCUCUGGAUAGUUCUCUAGAGGGGAAAUCGCAGAGCUGCCUGACUCUUUCCUGAUUUGGUUGGAGAAGAGGGUUAGGCAGCAAUCAAGUGGUUUGGAUUUUUCAUGAGGAAAACAAAGUGAAAGAUUUUUCUGAUGUCGGACAUUUUGUUUUGGGCUGUGGUGGUGGAUUCUGUUUUUCUCUUUUACUUUUUGUUUUCAUUCUUUUGUACUGUUUUUAAGGACAGCAGUGAGCAGUACCCCUGGUCUGUUUCUCCCAGUGAAAAACAUCUAGUGUGACAAUGCAGAAAUGGGGUGUGUCAGAGUCGUUCUCAACAGUGAUGCUGUCCCUUUGGGCUCUGUAGUCAUGGCAAGUUUCUUUACCUGUCUGUGCUCUAGUCCCUUCAUCUGUAUAAUGGAGACAGUAAUCUUUUUGGAUGUUGCAUUGAUUAACUGAGAUCAUUCUUGUCAAACACUUAGAAUAGUCUCUGCUAUAUAGUAAGCAAUUCGUGGCUGUUACUGUAUGAAUAUACACUAAUUCUGUUCAGUUCAGUUCAGUCGCUCAGUCGUGUCUGACUCUUUGUGACACUGUGGACUGCAGCUCGCCAGGCCUCCCUGUCCAUCACCAGCUCCUGGAGUU
This is a long non-coding RNA of Cervus elaphus (red deer), 1361 nucleotides long. RefSeq lists it as uncharacterized. The record is from RefSeq and is a predicted model, not a curated record. The transcript has 3 exons. NCBI's taxonomy places the organism in Eukaryota, Metazoa, Chordata, Mammalia, Artiodactyla, Cervidae.